AGCAAAUAGAUACCCGGGUAGUCCUAGCCUUAAACGAUGAAUGCUUGGUGUCUGGGGUUUUAUAGUCCCCGGGUGCCGUCGCUAAACGCUUUAAAGCAUUCCGCCUGGGGAGUACGGUCGCAAGACUGAAACUCAAAGGAAUUGACGGGGGACCCCGGCACAAGCGGUGGAGCAUGUGGUUUAAUUCGACGCAACGCGAAGAACCUUACCUGGGCUAGAAUGCCUCUGACCGGCGUAGAGAUACGCCUUCCUGGGUAAAACCAAGCAGAGUGCAAGGUGCUGCAUGGCUGUCGUCAGCUCGUGUCGUGAGAUGUUGGG
This 318-nucleotide ribosomal RNA is filed under the name uncultured bacterium. RNAcentral describes it as "bacterial SSU rRNA". It matches the Rfam family "Bacterial small subunit ribosomal RNA", at positions 767 to 1079 of the family's 1533-position model. The record is from RNAcentral.